UCUGGGGAUAGGCAAUAGCUCAGUGGUAGAGCAUCUGCUUUGCAUGCAGAAGGUUCUUGGUUCAAUCCUUGGCACCUCCAGAU
Molecule: transfer RNA, 83 nt
Filed under: Podarcis lilfordi (Lilford's wall lizard)
Lineage: Eukaryota; Metazoa; Chordata; Lepidosauria; Squamata; Lacertidae
Description: tRNA.Ala
Rfam family: tRNA (bases 16-71)
About the family: Transfer RNA (tRNA) molecules are approximately 80 nucleotides in length. Their secondary structure includes four short double-helical elements and three loops (D, anti-codon, and T loops). Further hydrogen bonds mediate the characteristic L-shaped molecular structure. tRNAs have two regions of fundamental functional importance: the anti-codon, which is responsible for specific mRNA codon recognition, and the 3' end, to which the tRNAs corresponding amino acid is attached (by aminoacyl-tRNA synthetases). tRNAs cope with the degeneracy of the genetic code in two manners: having more than one tRNA (with a specific anti-codon) for a particular amino acid; and 'wobble' base-pairing, i.e. permitting non-standard base-pairing at the 3rd anti-codon position.
Source: RNAcentral